UACGUAGGGUGCGAGCGUUGUCCGGAAUUAUUGGGCGUAAAGAGCUCGUAGGCGGUCUGUCGCGUCGGUCGUGAAAACUUGGGGCUUAACCCCGAGCUUGCGGUCGAUACGGGCAUGACUGGAGUUCGGCAGGGGAGACUGGAAUUCCUGGUGUAGCGGUGAAAUGCGCAGAUAUCAGGAGGAACACCGGUGGCGAAGGCGGGUCUCUGGGCCGAUAAUGACGCUGAGGAGCGAAAGAGUGGGGAGCAAACAGG
This 254-nucleotide ribosomal RNA is filed under the name uncultured bacterium. RNAcentral's name for it is "partial 16S ribosomal RNA". It matches the Rfam family "Bacterial small subunit ribosomal RNA", at positions 524 to 776 of the family's 1533-position model. The record is from RNAcentral.